AUGAGAUCUUGUCCCAAAAAUAAGUUAAUAAAUUUUGAAAGAGGUCGGGCUGGGAACGUAGCUCACACUGAAGGCUCUGGAUUCAUUCCCCAGUUCUGGAGAGAGAGAGAGAGAGAGAGAGAGAGAGAGAGAGAGAGAGGACCAAAUGCUUUCACAGAGGCACCUUCUUCCCAAUUCUGGGAUUGCAGGCAUCCUGGCACCGUGCCCAGCUUACACUGCACCGGCUUUCUGCAAAGGGAGAGAGAGGAGAUGAGCCGAGACGUAGAUCCGGCGGGAAGGCCGUGCACCUGUUUGAAGGCGCCUGCUCCAGCUUCUGGAAGAAGCCGUGAGUGUGUGGACUGGGGAGAGACAGAAACAGUCAAAGACAAAGGGAGCUGGCGUGGUGGCGCACGCCUGUAAUCCCAGCACGCGGGAGGCCGAGGCAGGAGGAUCUUUGCGAGUUAGAGACCAGCUUGGGCUACAAAGUGAGCUCAAGGCCAGCCUGAACUGCACAGCGAAACCCUGUCUCAAAAAAAAGAAAGCAAGACAGAGGGAACCAACAUCCAAAGGCAGAGCCGCUGUCCUCCUGACGGGAGCGCUGGGCCUGGAUCCCAGCUUAGGGGACUCUGUGCUCCUGCUGCUCUGUCUCAACCCCUAAGUCUCAGCUUUUUUCCAAACCAGAGAAAGCACCGUGCCGCUCACAAAUGUUAACCCUUAUGCAGUCAAGCAGCACCGGCGGAGGCAGCGGCUGGCGAUGCUCUGCUAGGCGGAGCCUGGCGCGUUUGUACAGCGUCUCUGCUCUGAGCAGCUGCGCUGGCUCUUCAGAUGAGCACUUUUCUCCCUCCCCUUAACAGGCUCUGAAUAGAACUGGAAGAUGACCCCAUUCCUUUCUUAGUGCUACCAUGGCUUCCAUGAAUUCCUGAAAUUCCUCUGCAAUUUAAUUUCUUUGUCUGUAAUAUGUGUGUUAUGUUCACUAUUACGUUUGAAUAAGGAUCAUUCCUAUAGCCAGGUGUGGCGGCGCACGCCUGUAAUCCCAGCACUCAGGAGGCUGAGGCAGAAAGACUUCUUCGAGCUCAAGGCCAGCCUGGGCUACAUAGUGAGACUCAAGAAUCCAAGCUGAGGUCCUGAGUUCGAUCCCCGGUACCGCAGGAAAAAAAAAAAAAAAUCCAAGCUGACAGUUUGGAGAGCGUGGGCUCCGUGGGGCGGGGAUUUCCUGUGUUGUUCUCUGCCGGGUCCCCGGUGUGAAGGACAGUGGCCACACAGCAGACAGUCAGUAUUUGUCGACCAUGUGACCGGUGCUGUCCUGCCCGGUCCCACAAGCGACACUGCGAGGCGUUUUACUCCCUUCUGUACAGAGAAGAAAACAGAGUCUCAGGAAAGCGAGGUGAUUUCCUCAAGGAUCUGAGGUUAGCACAGGCCGCGUGGCUCCGAGUCUAUGGCACACAUAUCACACCGGAAACACACUUGUUCUUUCAGCUCUGAAGACGCUCCAGGGAGCGCACACUUGAGCUGCGUGCGUGCUGCUGCUGGCGCCGCUGCUCGUUCGCCCUGCGGCCCGUUUGCAUCCCUUCCGUUUACGGCUUCUCUCCCUAUGGGCACCGGCUCCCUGAGCUCCGCCUGGCUCUGCCUUGGUGC
This 1614-nucleotide long non-coding RNA is filed under the name Chinchilla lanigera (long-tailed chinchilla). RNAcentral describes it as "lncRNA (ENSCLAG00000025179.1)". The record is from RNAcentral. Lineage: Eukaryota; Metazoa; Chordata; Mammalia; Rodentia; Chinchillidae.